UACGUAGGGUGCGAGCGUUAAUCGGAAUUACUGGGCGUAAAGUGUGCGCAGGCGGCCGCGCAAGUCGAGUGUGAAAGCCCCGAGCUUAACUUGGGAAUUGCGCUCGAAACUACGUGGCUGGAGUGUGGCAGAGGAAGGUGGAAUUCCAGGUGUAGCGGUGAAAUGCGUAGAGAUCUGGAGGAACACCGAUGGCGAAGGCAGCCUUCUGGGCCAACACUGACGCUCAUGCACGAAAGCGUGGGGAGCAAACAGG
RNAcentral lists this ribosomal RNA (253 nucleotides) under uncultured bacterium. RNAcentral's name for it is "partial 16S ribosomal RNA". It matches the Rfam family "Bacterial small subunit ribosomal RNA", at positions 524 to 776 of the family's 1533-position model. The record is from RNAcentral.